UACAGAGGGUGCGAGCGUUAAUCGGAAUUACUGGGCGUAAAGCGUGCGUAGACGGUUAUCUAAGUCGGAUGUGAAAGCCCCGGGCUCAACCUGGGAAUUGCAUUCGAGACUGAAUAGCUAGGGUACGGUAGAGGGAAGUGGAAUUUCCGGUGUAGCGGUGAAAUGCGUAGAUAUCGGAAGGAACAUCAGUGGCGAAAGCGGCUUCCUGGACCAGAACUGACGAUCAGGCUCGAAAGCGUGGGGAGCAAACAGG
RNAcentral lists this ribosomal RNA (253 nucleotides) under uncultured bacterium. Its description in RNAcentral is "partial 16S ribosomal RNA". It matches the Rfam family "Bacterial small subunit ribosomal RNA", at positions 524 to 776 of the family's 1533-position model. The record is from RNAcentral.